GCGAGCGUAGCUCAGUGGUAGAGCUCCACCUUGCCAAGGUGGGUGUCGCGGGUUCAACCCCCGUCGCUCGCUCCA
This 75-nucleotide transfer RNA is filed under the name Lentisphaerota bacterium. RNAcentral describes it as "Lentisphaerae bacterium (sediment metagenome) tRNA-Gly". It matches the Rfam family "tRNA". Rfam says of the family: Transfer RNA (tRNA) molecules are approximately 80 nucleotides in length. Their secondary structure includes four short double-helical elements and three loops (D, anti-codon, and T loops). The record is from RNAcentral. Lineage: Bacteria; Pseudomonadati; Lentisphaerota.